AUGUCUAUGUAUGUGUGUGUGUGUGUGUGUGUGGAGGGGAAAGAGCUGAAGUUCACAGUCUUCGCCCAGGGGAAACAUGCAGGGGGGAGACCGUACACAGCAGUUAAGGCUUUGUCAAUCACCCCCCUGCACAAUGCUCCCAGGCUGGUCCCCAGAGCUGUUCGCGCCCAUGGACAGCUCAGCAAACAAAGAAAUCUUCAGAGUUUUAAGCGGUUCCAGAAGAAAGGAAAUUCCUACAAGGAGAAUGUCAAUGCACCAAACCAAUCAGAACACUGUCCAAAGCUGCUUCGUGAAAAGAGAGAUAAAAAAAGCACAAAGGAAAAAGCAUUGGGAAGAGAAAACUUCUUCAUGGGCAGUGUUCUUCCCCUCCCCUGAAAGAGAAAGCCAACCACAAAACCCAAAAAUUCAAACACAAUUUUUCCUCAAUUUUCUAGGCCCGAGACCACUCUAACCCCCCAAAAAUCCCAACAAACCGGGGUUCCACAUCAUAGAAAAGAUGACAUUGGGACAACACACUAGUAUGAAAAUUUGCUGAUGUAUUUCGGUUCUCACGCCUGAAAAGUCUCUGCCUCCCACAACUGAAAAGGCGCUAGUCCACACUAGGGGGUUUGGAGAGGAAGGGACCCCCAAGCUGGUUUGAAAUAUUUCUUUUUAUUGCCAAGGACUCCUUUUUUUUUUUUUUGGUUGCUGUUUACAUCUACCAACGGCAAGGGCACAGGAGUACCCCACCCCCUGCAGCGAGGUUGGCUGGGCCACGGGCCACCACCACUGACCAGGUGACUUUUCUGCCGAGGGGCACGGCGGCUGCAGCGCCUUGAGAAGAGUCGAGGUUUGGGCCGGAAGGAAUGGCGCAGCGCUAACUCUGUGGCACUAAAAGGAGGCGGCGGCCUCGCUGACCAAAAUCAUAAUCUGCUGGUGACACCGGCAUCGGAAAGAAGCCCUUGCACAUUUCUAGACAAGUGUAAACUCGGUUAGGAAACUCUGAAGGGAGCCGCGGGCCAGGGAGGGAAAAAGAGGUUAGUAAAACGUCUCAAACGGAGUUCGGCUAAAAUACUGAGUUCGGGGAGCAACUGGAACGUGGGUCUGUCCGGAGGGGGUGCGGGACUGGGUCAUGCGGACAGUGGUCUCGAGUUCAAACGGACGAUGAGACGAUAACGCAGGUCACGGCCUGGCCGGAGACCCUCCCUCAGUAAGUGCUGGCCGAGGGGGUGCUCAGUCGCUUCCCGAUGUAAAUGCUGAAAGCAAACAACCGGUGCGUGUUACCGUGUGCCGCCGUCCGCCACCCUUCCCCUUCCCUCUGACGCCAUGGGCUGGCCGAAGCUAAUAACUACAUUCUCCGACCCCACUGGGGAGUGGGGGAUCUUGACACUGAGGUUUCCAGCUCCUUUAGGGGAAAUUGUCAUCAGGAAGGGGGCGGGGGUGCAAAUGUAGACUUGCCCUUCAGACUCAGAGAAGACUCUGCUGAUGGACAAGUUCACCCCAGAAUACAUGUGCGGCUGAAAAGGUCAAGGGGGGCCCCCGCCGUCCCAGCCAUGCUGGGCACACACAUAAACACAAAGGCUGCCCCUGGGAGAUGGGGCGAGGCCGUGGGGACCCCAAAGCGGCUACAGAAGCCCCCCAGACAGGCAGGCCAGCCGGCGGCCAGCUGGCUAUCCUUGCCUCCUGCUCCGGCCGAGCCCCCUCCGCUGGGUCUGGAGAGAGAAGAGCCCGUAGGAGAUGGCUGACACACGGCUCUCACUCCACACUGACCCUGAUGCCCUGACGGCUAGGGUUGUCAUCAAUAGUUAGGUUUAAGGUUACGGUUAACCCAUCUCCCCUAAGAACCAUCAGGGAGGGGAGAGGACACCAGAAAGGAUGGACUCGGGGGCCACAGAAACCACCCGCAUUUUUCAUUACCCUUAUCACCUCUUGAACGCUCCUCCUUCUUCGUCUUCUCCUUCUCAUUAACAACAUUCCCCCCCACUCCCUGUUCCCACUCCCCUCCUCUUCCCUCAAACGCAGAGAGAACCCAAGGCAGGGCAAACUCCGCCAUGACCCCUAUCAUGCCUGGGGAGGGUCCUGUACAUUAAACUCCACCCACGUGUUGUUGAAACUACGCACAGUAACUAUGCAUAGGAGAGUUUGGGCUCAAUUCACUGGGAGCGCUUAAACGUGGUAGAUUUUUUUUUAAGUGGUCACUGCCAUUAUCUCAUAGAUUUCCCCCAAAUCUUUCAAAGAGAUGUAUAUGCUUAGCCAUUUGUUAAGGGCCCCCCCCCCGCCCAUGACAGUAAGCUCAUUAUGGGCAGGGAAAGUGUCUGCUAAUUCUGUUGUAUUGUACUGUCCCAAGAGCUCAGUAGAGUGCUCUGUGCUCGAUAAAUACUACUGAUCGAUUAAUUGAUUAACACAAACCCAAAAGGAGUAUCAGAGCAAGGAUUUGGUGGUAAACUGUCACCUACGCCACUGGCCACAAGGGCUGGGACCAAGGUGACUUUUCAUAGUCCUCUCAACACCCCGGGCAGUGCUCUGCACAUCACAGGGGCUCGAUAAAUGCUACCUAAUGAAAGAAAACACAUUUUUGCAAGAAAGGGGGCUUCAGCUAGCAGUCAGGAUCUGGACAUAAGUGAACCAAACCUAAAAGGGAGAAGCGAGGGGCUAGCGGGGGGAGAGACUGGGACAGUGGAGCACGUUGCCGCCGUGGCCCUAUGGAAGCAACUGGACGAAGGUUCCAAGAUGGCAGCGCGGCACCUCAUUUCUGGAAAGUUGGGAAAGUCUCAAAGUCCACCUCCAGUUCCCAGAACACCUUGCUAGGGAAGACUUCUUUGAAGGUCGGCUGAUAGCUGAGCUCACUGGAGAGAGAAGCAUUUGAUUCUCUCUUCUUCCUCAUUGGUGAAUAACCCAUUUUCUUACACCCUUCAAUGCCCUCCAAGCCUCCAUUUUCAGGAAAGGGCAAACAUCAGUUUUGGCUUCCCCUCUUCCUUUCCCGGUCCCUACCACGUCCCCUGCAACACUCGAUGGAAACAAAGGGUGCGUAAGCAAACCAGGAUCGUGCACAUACCCUAGUCCGAGAGCCAAAACAUGGGAGAUGAAGAGUGACGGAAUGAACACCUUGAGAAACUCUGCAGAGAAGAUGCCCCCUUUCUUCAUGGCGCCACUUUUUCUCAUACUUAGAGAAACAGAACGCUUGGGAUGCCUGAAGUGGAACUCCCUGAGAGAAAGAGAGACAGAAAUAGAGACAGAGAGACAGAGAGGUCAGAGGCAUAGGCUCCACAGAAAUGACACUUGGCUGUGAUAAGCAACUGCUCAAUCAGCUUUCUCCCACCUACCUAACCUCCCUCCUCUCCCACUAAAAGCCAGUCUGCAGAAUUUGCUCCUCUAGUAUCAGCUUUUGAGGAUAGAGCCCGGGUCUGGGAGUCAGGGGACUCAGCUCCGCCACUUGCCUUUUGGCAAGUCUCUUCUCUGUACCUCCGUUUCCUCACCUGUAACAAUGGGACUCACACCUGUUCUCUGGCCCACUUGGAAUGUGAGCCCCAUGUGAUAUACAGGGACUGUAUUUGUUUUGAUUAUCUUGUAUCUUCCCCAGCACCUAGCACAGUGCUUGGCCCGUAGUAAGCAAUUAAAUACUACCACCACCACCAUCAUCACCUUGCAGCUGACCCCUUGCUUAUGUCCUCCCUCCUGCCUGGAACUGCCCCUCCCAUCCCCACGCCAUCAUAUCCAUCAGACCACCACUCUCCCCACCUUUAAAGCUCUACUAAAAUCAUUUCCCAGACUGAGCUCCUCUUCUCCCUCUACUCCCUCUACCACCCC
This 3786-nucleotide long non-coding RNA is filed under the name Ornithorhynchus anatinus (platypus). RNAcentral describes it as "lncRNA (ENSOANG00000037182.1)". The record is from RNAcentral. Lineage: Eukaryota; Metazoa; Chordata; Mammalia; Monotremata; Ornithorhynchidae.